AACGCACAUUGCGCCCCUUGGCAUUCCGAGGGGCAUGCCUGUUCGAGCGUCAUUACAACCCUCAAGCACUGCUUGGUAUUGGGCUCCGCUGGUUUCAGCGGGCCUUAAAAUCAGUGGCAGCGCCGUCUGAGCUCUGAGCGUAGUAAAUACCCUCGCUAUAGAGACCAGGUAGCUCUCGUCAUCAACCCCCCCAACUUUCUAAGUUUGACCUCGGAUCAGGUAGGGAUACCCGCUGAACUUAA
Molecule: unclassified non-coding RNA, 242 nt
Filed under: uncultured fungus
Lineage: Eukaryota; Fungi
Description: partial contains 5.8S ribosomal RNA, internal transcribed spacer 2, and large subunit ribosomal RNA
Source: RNAcentral